RNAcentral lists this unclassified non-coding RNA (1494 nucleotides) under Lingula anatina. Its description in RNAcentral is "non-structural maintenance of chromosomes element 3 homolog, transcript variant X2". Lineage: Eukaryota; Metazoa; Brachiopoda; Lingulata; Lingulida; Lingulidae. The record is from RNAcentral.
UUCGCGAGAGCGGAUACAACUUUCCGAUCUCCCGCCUUUCUUAAAGGAUUGUGAACUUCAUUGAUCUACUAUAGAAUGCCGAAAGCUAAGAAGAAAACCCAACGACCACAGCGUUCCUCCCAGGCAGAGUCUUCGGAUGAAGAAGUGGAGGCGACCCAAUCCCUGACACAAGCACAGAGGGCGGUGUCCAACUUCUCCCAGGCAGAUAUACAGAAGAAGGUAACAGAGCUGGUGCAGUAUAUUUUGAUUGCAGACCAGAAGAAAAUUCCAAUCAAAAAGAAAGAAAUCAACAGACAUGUCCUGAAGGAAAUGAGCAAGAGUUUCCCAAUACUGAUCAAGAAGGCAGAAGAACAGCUGCAAUAUGUGUUUGGGUUUAAACUGCAGACAGAAACAACAGGAAAACAGACCAGUUACAUGCUGGUCAAUGCCAUAGAUCUUAAUGAAGAUGAACCACAUCUGAAAUGGUCCCCAGAAGAAAAUGCUAAGACUGGUCUUCUGAUGAUUAUCCUCAGUCUUAUCUUUAUGGAGGGGAAUGUAGUCCCAGACACAAAGUUGUGGCAUACACUGAAAAGACUUGGAGUAGACUCAGAGAAGAAUCACGAGGUGUUUGGUGACGUCAAGAAGUUGGUGACGCAAGAGUUCGUACGUCAGGCGUACCUGGAGUAUGUACGUCAACCAAAUACAGACCCACCGUCCUUUGAAUUCCGGUGGGGUUCUCGUGCACAGGCUGAGACCACCAAGAGAAAUGUGCUGGAGUUUGUUUGCCAGAUUUACGGAAGGGAAGUAGAUGAUGUAGAUAGUCCAGAGUAUGGUAACUGUGUACCUAUGGAACUGACCAAGUGGACCUCACAGUACCAAGACGUCGUAAGAUCUGAAAUGGAAGGUCCAAAUGUCAGCCAUAACGAAGACUCCAGUUGAGAGAGAAACGAGUUUCUGGACUGAUGGACCAAAACUAGCUUUUAGUCAAAAAGAAGUUCUGUAGAUACAGCGUGUAACCAAAUAACAGUAAUUUAGAUUCCGGGGUGGAGAAAAUUAAACAGUAAAGAAGAAAAAUUACAAGAUAAUGGUGUCCUAGUUUAGCCUGUGUCAUCUACGAUAGAGUCCCAUUUGUAAUACAUCAUUCCCAUUCCCAUUGAUUUCUUUACCAAAGUCCCGUCCUAGAUUGUGAACCAUUUACGUCACGCUAACCCUGAACUGUAUGAAUUUAAUGACGGGUGGCGUCUGUUACCAAUUUCCGUCACACCAGCAGAACAAUCUUUUAACACAAUUCAAAUUUUAAGUGAAGUAAACUUUUUGAUACUGCAUCACUGGUACAUUGUUUAUUUUUCAUUUCCCUAGCAAUCUCUUGUUACACUUCAAGACCUAAAGACUGGCGUCCAUUGCCUGUGGGUCUUGUGGAAGGAAUUCUGUUGGAAACGUCAGAGAGGAACCGGUAGUAUACCGCCAAAGCGAACGAUAAACUACGCUUCUGCUUGGUAUUAGUGAGAACUUGAG